Molecule: long non-coding RNA, 6706 nt
Organism: Gallus gallus (chicken)
Lineage: Eukaryota; Metazoa; Chordata; Aves; Galliformes; Phasianidae
Source: Ensembl
CUGAGUUGGAAGGGACCCUGAGAGGUCAUCUAUUUUUAUUUUUCACUCAGAGGGUGGUGAUGCACUGGAACAGGUUGCCCAGCGAGGUUGUGGAUACUCCAUUCCUGGAGGCAUUCAAGGCAAGGCUGGAUGUGGCUCUGGACAGAGCUUGCUCUAGUGGUUGGCGGCCCUGUCCAUGGCAGGGGGGUUGAAAGUGGAUGAUCUUUGAGGUCCUUUUCAACCCCGGCCAUUCUGUGAUUCUGUGAUUCUAUGGUUCUAUGGUUCUAUGAUUCUAUGAUCUAGUCCAACCCCCCUGUGAUGAAUAGGGACACGUGCAGCUACAUCAGGUUGCUCAGAGCCCCAUCCAGCCUGACACUGAGUGUCUCCAGGGACGAGGCAUCCACAACCUCUCUGGGCAAUCUGCUCCAGUGCCUCACUACCCUUAUUACAAAAACUUCUUUCUUAUAUCCAGUCUAAAUCUCCCUUCUUUUAGUUUGAGACCAAUUCCCCUUUUUCUAUCACAGCAGACCCUGCUGAAGAGUCUGUUCCCUUCUUUCUAAUAGACGCCCUUUAGAUACUGAAAGGCUGCUCUCAGCUGUUGCAUGUAGUCUCCGUUCGCUCGUCCGGUGUUCGUCCUCUGUCCACAUGUAGGGCUUACUGCUGGGCGAAACCGACCCUUUACCAGGUCGGGGCCAGAUGCUCACCCAGACCCCAGGAGUAAGUGAGGCAAAUGGCGUUUAUUCACUACUAAACACAGCUUAUAUACAUUUUACCUAGAUAACCGUGCUGUCAUGUCCCACUCUGAUUAGUUCACACCAGAUAACAUUGUGCCUUAUUUGGCCGUUUCCGCAUUCUUUUAUCAUCCUUCUUCUUCUCCUGUUUUCUCUGCAACAAGGUCAGCACGAUAGCACUAUCUCUCUAUGUUUAGGGAGAGGCCUGUCCCGUACAUCCCGUGCCCCCGCAAGACGCCUACUACAACAUCUCCCCCUCCCUAAGCUAAAUACUACUUACACACACACCUAACCCGUACAUCGCGAAGCAGCGCAAAACGCCUAAUCCUAAAUAUAUUUCAGCACACUAUUCCUACUAUUUUCUACUACAGUUCUUAAGCAAUCAUCAGAGCAACAGGGAAUUCUUUUCCGUGCUCGGCCAAGCCUUGCCCCGUUACAGCACGAACGCAACAACCUAAACCCCUCUAUAAUUUUUCACGCAAUCUAUGAUACUCAAUGUGAUAGUCAAAAGUCUUGUCCAUCAUUCGUUGAAGGCAGUUCUGCAAGCAUCCUACAAAGCAUGGAAGACAGAUUAGAAUACACACAAAGAUUGCAAAUCCUACUGCGAGAGCUUUAAGCAAUUGCUUUAACCAUGAACCCGUUCCCCCAAACAGUCCGUCCAGCCAGCUUCCAAAGGGAUCACGCUCUUCUUUAAUUUUCUGCAUAUGUUCUUGUGUCCAUUGUAGUUGUUUGUGACACUCUGUAAUUGCCAUGGACACCAUAAAUAUCAGCAACAUCGGAAGUGUCAGCGUUGCAGGUGUAGUGCUCCUCUUGACGAGUGGUUCUUGAUCCCAUCGUCUGUCCCUCAGUUGUUCUGGAGUUGGCUUCGGUCUGCCAACGAAGAAUUUCUGUAGAAAACUCGCACCUAGACUCAGUUUUUGCAGAUAUUCUACUUAUAUCUGGUAUUACUUUUCGCGAUGGUACCCACAGAAUUUCCCAGAUUCAUGAUAUUUAACUGCCGCAUACCCGACCACGGAUACCCUUUAGCAAGCCCUUCCUGUGAUCAGGAGGCCCUGACUGGCCUCCCCCACAGGGGCAUUGUGCUCUAACAUGGCCAUACUGGCCGUAUCGGAAACACAGCCCUUGCUGCUGCAGCGAUCUUUGCUGUCGCAGGCCAACAGCUACGACAAUAGCUGUGACUAGCCUUUCAUUAGUUAAAUGAGCCACCUUGAGCUUAUCUAAGACAUACUGAAUAACUUCUCCCGAGGUAUUAAGCGUACUUCGGCCGGCUCGCAGCAAUGCCUUAACAUUGUCAUGCGAUUUCUGCUGCAAGCAGUCAAUGAUCACUGGCCCUUGGGCCGGUACCAGGAGAUCAGACCCCUCUGCAGCAGCUAAAAGCCUGUCUGUAAAGCUUUGAAAGGAUUCAUUCGGGCCCUGGGUAAUAUCUGUGCACGGAGUAGGUGGUUCGGCCUUAUGCACAAGUUUAUUAAACGCUUCCACCACUGCAUCUGUGGCUGCUAUUAGCUCCCCUGACCUUAGUCUCGCUAGCUGGCCCUGGGGCGAAGCCACUCCCACGGCCUUCCCUGAAAGCCGCUGUAUUCCGGUCCCAUGCAGGGAGCGGCGCGGGCCGACCCCUGUCGCCCCGGCACGGCCCCCCAACUCGGCCACCCAGUCCGUCUCCCAUAACGUAUAUUGAACCAGCCUGAGCACCGUACGCAUUAAGUUUGUGAUGUCACGGGGGAGGAGAGGCCCCAGUGCAGCCAAAGUUUGUAGUGCAUUUAAUGUCAGAGGCGAUUUCAGGCCUCUUUUAUCCAUAAAUUCCACCAGGCGCGUAACACCCCCGGGGUCAGGCGGCACCCAUUCGGGACCACGAUCACUCACGAUCACCCGGAAUGCCUCUGGAACUAUACCCUUCCCCAAAGCCUCCGAUCUAAUCCCAUUCCAGUCCGUCAUUUGAUCCCUCCCCCUGCACUCAAACCCAGUCCCUUCUUUCUCUUCUACACUAUCACUCGCACUACCGCCCCUGGGAGUGACCAGAGACAGUAGGCUAUGCCCCCUGUCCGCAUUGGACGGACCUUUUGUCUGGUCCCUCCCCAUGUGGGCACUAAGUUGAUCCUGCCCGUGUAGAUCACAGCUUCCUCCGCCCCCUUGAGUCAGGUAACACUGACGUAAUUCUGAUAAAGGAUACAACGUUCCGCCUGAGGGGUGUGGAUACGGGGGAGGGGGACGAGACAACGAACUUUCACUCUCUUGUUGUUUGUCUUCUUUUGAACUGAGCGCGGUCGGCUCAGCCGGCGCCAUCCCGCCAACGGUCAUUGGCGGCUCCGUCUCCUCUCGGCCCCUGCAAGAAACUGCUCCCGAACCCCCAUCGGACCCGACCGGGUCCUGUGUCUCACCUCCUCCGCUGAGACCCAAAAGGUAUCGAGCCUCCACCAAUACCUUUCCCUCAACUCUGGCCGCUUUAAGGGCUCCUAAUAUCAGUCCCCACGUUUUAAGUUCCGUAGCCUUCUGACUGGCCAUGGCGCGCUGGCAUAGCACCGAGGUGAGCAAGUCCCACCUACUCGAAUCCAAAACGUAGCGGGGAGAGUCCAGCUCCCCCAGCUCAUUUAAUAGCGACAAAACUGCCGCGAUCUCCUUCCGGGAAGGAGCAGAUUUUCCACAGUAGUCCUUACAAAACUGCACAAGUACCUUAAUGACUUGGUCCAUUGUUACGUAUGCGACCUGCCGCCACCUCGCAGGCUCUUAACCGCAAUACGUCUUCCGUGCGCGACCUGCCGCCACCUCACAGGCUCUUCUCCGCGUCACGGGCACGCCGGGCAGCCACCCUCAGCAGACAGAUCACGUCGGGGUCACCACUUGUUGCAUGUAGUCUCCGUUCGCAUCGUCCGGUGUUCGUCCUCUGUCCACAUGUAGGGCUUACUGCUGGGCGAAACCGACCCUUUACCAGGUCGGGGCCAGAUGCUCACCCAGACCCCAGGAGUAAGUGAGGCAAAUGGCGUUUAUUCACUACUAAACACAGCUUAUAUACAUUUUACCUAGAUAACCGUGCUGUCAUGUCCCACUCUGAUUAGUUCACACCAGAUAACAUUGUGCCUUAUUUGGCCGUUUCCGCAUUCUUUUAUCAUCCUUCUUCUUCUCCUGUUUUCUCUGCAACAAGGUCAGCACGAUAGCACUAUCUCUCUAUGUUUAGGGAGAGGCCUGUCCCGUACAUCCCGUGCCCCCGCAAGACACCUACUACAACACUCAGCUCUCCCUGGAGCCUUCUCUUCUCCAGGAUGAGCAGCCCAAGCUCUCUCAGCUUGUCCUCCUAGAAGAAGUGUUCCAUCCCUUGGAUCAUUUUUGUGGCCCUCCUCUGGACGCCUUCCAACAGGUCCAUGUCUCUCCUGUACUGAGGACUCCACAUCUGGACACAGUACACCAGGUUCAGAGUCACUUCACUGUCAAUUAGAGCAAAAGCAGUACUUACACUGUACAUUAAAACACCUAUCAGUGUAUCUGAGAUCUCAGCUUGUCAGGUAGACUCAGAGCAUGGAGCCCAUAUAAGUUUCAAGAGGUUACAUGAGGACUACAGAAGGCUAAUAGCAUGAUAACAGCUGCUAGCACGGGGAUGUAAGCAAUGCAAACAUCAGAUUCAUGCAGUUUGGCUAGCUUGUUGCCAAGGAUGUCAGACUCCUGAGUGAUGGAGAAAGCUUUGCCACAAUUGACACUGUCUCCAGCUUCCAAAGGCUGAAAUAAUACUCCUGGCUAUAAGCCAUCCUUUGCCCACAUCCAGGAGUGCUCCAAACAUGACUGCUUCAGAGGACCUGAGAAUACUGACACCAGCCUAGCAGAGGACUCCAUGAAAAGUGAAAAAAACAUCCUGCAGUCUCUCAUCCAGAUGUAUCAUUUUGGCACGUCGAAGAUGAAGAGACACUAUAGCUUGCAAAAUUAGAUCUCACCAGUCUUACAGGUAAGAUCUAUCAAGUUUCAUCUGCAAAUGUGGCACCCUACAAAUGUGACUAAACUACUUCCAGAGCCAGGUCACACAAGAAAGCAGCAUAGCUGCAUUCCUGCUUCAGAGGACCACAUCAACAGCCUACAGAGCCAGGUUGAUGUUUUCCAUUGCGUGUAACUGGAGGUUACAAUGUGCCAUGCGACUAAGCAGUCAGACAACUUCAUUAUAGCCUUACUUACUGUCAGCAGGUUGAUGCUGUUUAUGCAGGUGAACGGGCUCAACGUGGCUUUGGCACUUCAUGAGAGCUUCCUGGGAACUGGAGCACUACUUACUAUAUAUCACUGGAAACAGCAUGGUAGCUGUUGGGAUAUAUACAAGAGCAACAAAAGGGACGUUGCAAUAUCUAGGAGAAAAGAAUUAACACCUGAUACAUUUUAAAAGUACAGUGAGCAGGCCAAACAUUUAAGGUAAAAUAACCGUUUUCCAGAAGUGAUUUCAUUACUUUUCCUUCUGUGUUAUUUGUAAUUUUCUCAACAGUGCAGUAUUUUUAACUUUGAGACAAUAUAUUAAUGUGGGGAUAUUGUCAGUGUAGCUAAUCUUUUCUUUUAGGAACAUCUUAAAAAUUAGCAUAUCUAUCUAAACUGCUAAAAGAGAGAUUACCCCAUCGUUAACUACACACACAUGUUAACGAGAGAGGUGGGAUCGAGACCUCAUGACAACUGCAGACCUCUCUCUACGCACUUAGGCAUAGUGUACCCAUAGCGUAUAAGGGAUGUACCUUUGUUCUGUUGGGGUGCACAUUAAAAAGGAAAUAUCCCCUGGGCAUCCGGGGCCGUAUUAGAGAAUGCCUGCUUCUUAAUACCCACAUUUGUCUUAAGGAGUUUUAUUUGGGUCGAGGUUUGUCUGGCAACAGGUAGACCAAAUGUUUGAGACAGGAGAAAGAUACUGCAGUUCGUCUGCAUUUCAGAGCACUCUUCCUGAGACAGGCUAUGCCGGUGACAACACAUGAUACUGUCUGAGGUAUGUGCUCACUGUAUCUUCUUCCCAGAAAUAAUACAUACUUUAGAGAACAGAGGACAAUAUCUGAGAAGUGUAACUGCUACUUAUACAGCAAAUGCUCUGUAUGCUACACAACUGUAAAAUGAUCAAUCAAGGCUUGUCAAAAAUGAAAAUCCACAAAAAUAAUAAAAAAAAGGCCAUGAAAUGAAAUAAAAGGGGAAAAAAUAAGAGCUGAAUGCACAUACUCUAUUAAAGCAUGAAUAUCAGGAUAAGGCAUAUGAAAAGAGACGUAGGAGAGCAACUGUAGUUUUAAAACACUUGAUAAUUAAAGAUGAAACAAAAAGUAGAAUAAGAUUAGAUUGAAGGAAGGAAGUCUAGCAAGGUUGUGGAAACUUGAGAAAAAAUAGUUACAUGUAGAACAAAUAAGAAACAGGAUGUUGUACUUCAUAAAGUUACACAAAGUUAAAAGAUUUAAACAUAAAAAAUAUAACAGCUUUCAGUGUAAUUUAUGGUAUAAAGACACUUCUUAUUUUGUGGAGUAAAAGCAAGCAACUUCUGAUCUUCAGAUCAAUCUAAAUAGAUAUUUAAUUGUUUAGAUUUCAAGGUCUCAAUCAAUUACUUCUUCCAACAGUAAAUAUCCAUAGUUAAAAUGCUUUGGGAUGUUUCUAUCUUUGUACUCUGUCUUUUUCUCUCAUCUCGAAGAAAAGCUCAAAGAAUAUAAAUAUAAGGAAUAAUUUUUUUACAGUGAGGGUGGUGAGGUAUUGAAAUACGUUGCCCAGUGUUGUGGUUCAUGUCCUGAUCCUGGAGACUUUCAAGGCAAGGCUGGACUGGGCCCCAGGCAACCUGAUCUAGCUGUGGUUGUCCCUGUUAGUUGCAGGGGAGUUAGACUAGAUGGUCUUUAGAGGUGCCUUCCAACUCUAAGGAUUCUAUUAUUCUAAAAGCUAAUGCAAAUGUAAAAGCUAGAAUGAAAAAUCAGUCUUUCAAAAUGAUAAUGAUUUGUAAGCUUUCAACAUUGUCUAAAAAUCUGUGUAAAAUGCAUGCACCAUAAUGUGAAAUAAACAAAUGAAAACAUAGCUUAGAUGUA